Mercenaria mercenaria is the source of this 2744-nucleotide long non-coding RNA. RefSeq lists it as uncharacterized. The transcript is spliced from 2 exons. Lineage: Eukaryota; Metazoa; Mollusca; Bivalvia; Venerida; Veneridae. The record is from RefSeq and is a predicted model, not a curated record.
CCUGCACUUUGUAUAAAGAAUCCUGUUAUAGUAUCAUCAGUGUUAACAACAUCCAUGUAGAAAAGACUGAUCUCUGCAAGGGAGUAUAUCUGUAUCAUCUUUUCUUAGGCUUCUUUUACAAAAUAAAGAUUGCAACUAACUAAAGAUACAGCUCGUAAAUUUUCUGAAGUGGAGCAUACAGAAAUUAAUUAUUGCAACAUAAUAUAUUUUCUUCAAUUUCCUUUACAGGAACUGGCCAAAAAGGAUGUUGAUACUGAUACAACUUCCUCGUAGCAACUUCAGUCCUACAGAUUUAUAAGGGGAGGCAACAAUUUUCACUAUUUACCUAGAAACCAUUGACCUAAUUCAAUAUGGGAAGAUGCCACAUGUCACACAAAGUCGCAUACCACAACAAAUCGCUGUAGCAUAGAUUAUCUAUGUCACACCUAAAAAGGAAAUUUCACCAAAGGCACAAAGAAUCACCAGGAUUGCAUGGAAUAUUCAGACACAAUGACGAUAAAAAGCACAAUAGUCCAACAUCUGGAAUUAGGUCAACUGUAGAGAUAUUGUGUACUUGGCUUGAAAAGAUCCUAAAGUGAUUUUGGUAGCCUGUUAUGAAAGACAGUUUGAUUUUCCAGUUCUUGUCUCAGCUCUACUGUGCACAAAAAUAACUAGGACAUUAUUCAGCUGAGUUUCUUCUAAAAAGUAUUCUUUUACUAGUGUUAAAGAAACUGUACCCUAAACAGUCAUAUUUGCUAUGACACUAUUUGGUAUCCGGUACAAUGCCUAUAACUGACAGACAGACAAAUUUACUAUGAAAAACUGGGAAGGCCUGCCAAGGGUUUUCAUGUGUUAAAGAAAAAUUACAAGCAAUGACGUAUACUCAUGAUAAAUUUGGUACCAUAAUGUUCGUUAUCUAAAGUAGAAAAUAACAACUGUAAUUGGAAAUUCGAAUUAUGUUAUUUUACUCUAUAUUUAAGAAAAUUAAUAUAGUCAGACUUGUAAUUUUUUUCAUUUGUUAAAAUGUUAUAUUAUAGCUAUAAGCCUUAAUACCCUUUUUUACAAUCUGCCUAAAGAAACACUUUAGUUGUUCUUGUUUAUUAUUUAGCCAUUUCCUUGAUUAAAAAUACACAACAAACUUCUAGCUCAAGACAUUCCAAGGUUAAGUUAUUACUUUCUUUGAUUUUGCUUAAGUUUGUUAAUUAUUGUUAAAUACUUUUGUUCAAAAUUUAAUAAGGUGUAAAACCUUUAAAUAAUAUCCUUAAGCAACAGAUGUUAUCUUUUAAUAGUAAAGCAAGGAGAAGAAAACCUUUACUGUAAGCUAAUAUAGCUUUCUGUCCAAUGCCUGAAAUGUUUUUAUGCCCCCAGAGGGAGGCAUAUUAGUUUUCAACUGUCCGUCCGUUUGUUGGUUCGUUAGUUGGUUCGUCACAACGUUAACUUUUUGCAUGAUGGCACUUUAUUCGCGAACCACUGCACCCAGGACAUUCAAACUUCACAUGCUGAUAGUACUUAUUGAGUACACGACCCCUACUGACUUUGGGGUCACCAGGUCAAAGGUCAAGGCGCUGCGGGGGGAGGGGGGGCGGGCAUUUGUCACCAUUAGUGACAGCUCUUGUUUGUAAAUAUUUCAUAACUUUAUGAAUAAAAAUGUUUAAUUUAAAACUAUAAGUAAAGUAUAUAAACCCCAAACUUUUAAGGAGCAAGAAGACAAAAUUUCAUUUCAACUCUUGUAUAAAAUUAACUUUGUGAUAAGUUUCUCAGUGAUAUCUAGACUUAUAAUUUUAUAAUUAUCUGUAUAGAUUUUUUGUUCAGUUAAUUCAGGUGUAUACAAGACUUGUAGGCCCAUAGGGCCAGGUGUGUUUAACUGUUAAAUAUUGUAUGUUAUUAUGUUUAUAUGCUCACACAGGUCACAUUAAUAAACAAAUUUCUUAUCUUCUAAAGAUUUUUUUUAUGUUUUAAGCUACCUAAUUAUUUAUAUUAGAGAAAACUGUUGAAUUUUAAUUACUUUAUAAGUGUACAUGUAAAUCCUAUUUCACUAUACUUACAUAUUAUUGAAAGCUAAGGGUCCCCACUGGAAAUAAGUGACAUUGUUACUUUCAUGGUUUAUCCCAGGCAGAAAGAUCAUCAUUUUUUCCUGAUAUUUAUGUAUAAGCUUGAUUACACUUGUAAAGUAUAAACAUAAAAGGGUUUACUGCAUAUUUAUUAAUUCUAAUAUUUUUGAUUUUUGUACCACUUUGUAUUUCUGUUAUAAUUGGAUCUUAUGCCUGAAUAAAAUUGAAUUGAAUUGAACUGAAUUGGAUUUUAAACUGAACUGAAUGAACUUAAUUUUAAACUAAAACUGAACUGAAUUGAAUUUUAAACUGAAACCAAACUGAACUGAACAGAAUUUAGAACAGAAACUGAACUGAAUUUUAAACUGAAACUGAACUGAAUUUUAAACUGAAACUGAACUGAACUGAAUUUGAAACAGAAACUGACCUGAAUUUGAAACUGAAACUGAACUGAACUGAAUAUAGCUGGGUAAAAAACUACAGUACAGCUUGCAUUAAGAAAUCACCAAAGGGAAGGAAAAAACAUGUUCUGUUUAUGCAACAUAGUUUGUUCUUUGAUAACAUAAAAAAAGGAACUGAAAAACUGGUCUCUUAAUGCAAGUAGUUUCUAAAUCAAAUGCACUUGAUGAAACUUACUAUGCUUUUGUGCUGCAAAUUUUGUAAUGUAGUUUUGUUGUGUCUAUGAUGAUUUCUCUAAAUAAACUUUAAACAUUA